GAUGAACGCUAGCGGCAGGCCUAAUACAUGCAAGUCAAGGGGUUCAGCAAUGGACACCGGCGGACGGGUGCGUAACGCGUACACAACGUGCCCAAGGGCGGGGGAAAGCGGCGGGAAACUGCCGGUAAUACCCCAUGGCAUCACAUUUUGGCAUCAUAAUGUGAUUAAAGUACAAGCGCCCUUGGAUCGGUGUGCGUUCGAUUAGCUAGUUGGCGGGGUAACGGCCCACCAAGGCUCCGAUCGAUAGGGGGUGUGAGAGCAUGGCCCCCCACACGGGUACUGAGACACGGACCCGACUCCUACGGGAGGCAGCAGUAAGGAAUAUUGGACAAUGGGCGGAAGCCUGAUCCAGCCAUGCCGCGUGAAGGACGAAGGCGCUCAGCGUUGUAAACUUCUUUUGGAUGGGAACAAUAACCGAGACUUGUCUUGGCUUGAGGGUACCAUCAGAAUAAGCACCGGCUAACUCCGUG
RNAcentral lists this ribosomal RNA (470 nucleotides) under uncultured organism. RNAcentral describes it as "bacterial SSU rRNA". It matches the Rfam family "Bacterial small subunit ribosomal RNA", at positions 28 to 507 of the family's 1533-position model. The record is from RNAcentral.